AUACGUAGGGGGCGAGCGUUGUCCGGAAUGAUUGGGCGUAAAGGGCGCGUAGGCGGCCCGGUAAGUCUGGAGUGAAAGUCCUGUUUUUAAGAUGGGAAUUGCUUUGGAUACUGUCGGGCUUGAGUGCAGGAGAGGUAAGUGGAAUUCCCAGUGUAGCGGUGAAAUGCGUAGAGAUUGGGAGGAACACCAGUGGCGAAGGCGACUUACUGGACUGUAACUGACGCUGAGGCGCGAAAGUGUGGGGAGCAAACAGGAUUAGAUACCCUGGUAGUCCACACUGUAAACGAUGAAUACUAGGUGUAGGGGGUAUCAACUCCCUCUGUGCCGCAGCAAACGCAAUAAGUAUUCCGCCUGGGGAGUACGGCCGCAAGGUUGAAACUCAAAUGAAUUGACGGGG
This 397-nucleotide ribosomal RNA is filed under the name uncultured bacterium. Its description in RNAcentral is "partial 16S ribosomal RNA". It matches the Rfam family "Bacterial small subunit ribosomal RNA", at positions 523 to 918 of the family's 1533-position model. The record is from RNAcentral.